UGGGGAAUUUUCCGCAAUGGGCGAAAGCCUGACGGAGCAAUACCGCGUGAGGGAGGAAGGCUCUUGGGUUGUAAACCUCUUUUCUCAGGGAAGAACAGAAUGACGGUACCUGAGGAAUAAGCAUCGGCUAACUCCGUGCCAGCAGCCGCGGUAAUACGGAGGAUGCAAGCGUUAUCCGGAAUGAUUGGGCGUAAAGGGUCCGCAGGUGGCAUUGUAAGUCUGCUGUUAAAGAGUUUGGCUCAACCAAAUAAGAGCAGUGGAAACUACAAAGCUAGAGUGUGGUCGGGGCAGAGGGAAUUCCUGGUGUAGCGGUGAAAUGCGUAGAUAUCAGGAAGAACACCAGUGGCGAAGGCGCUCUGCUAGGCCGAG
RNAcentral lists this ribosomal RNA (369 nucleotides) under uncultured cyanobacterium. RNAcentral describes it as "bacterial SSU rRNA". It matches the Rfam family "Bacterial small subunit ribosomal RNA", at positions 355 to 738 of the family's 1533-position model. Lineage: Bacteria; Bacillati; Cyanobacteriota. The record is from RNAcentral.